Molecule: ribosomal RNA, 250 nt
Filed under: uncultured prokaryote
Description: partial 16S ribosomal RNA
Rfam family: Bacterial small subunit ribosomal RNA
Source: RNAcentral
UACGUAGGUGGCAAGCGUUGUCCGGAAUUAUUGGGCGUAAAGGGAGCGCAGGCGGGAUAGCAAGUCUUACUUAAAAGUUCAGAAGUAAUGUCUGUGAUGGGUAGGAAACUGCUAUUCUUGAGAGCAGGAGAGGCAAGCGGAAUUCCCGGUGUAGCGGUGAAAUGCGUAGAUAUCGGGAGGAACAUCAGUGGCGAAGGCGGCUUGCCGGACUGUGUCUGACGCUGAGGCUCGAAAGCCGGGGUAGCGAACG